This 372-nucleotide long non-coding RNA is filed under the name Pogona vitticeps (central bearded dragon). RNAcentral's name for it is "lncRNA (ENSPVIG00000023881.1)". The record is from RNAcentral. Lineage: Eukaryota; Metazoa; Chordata; Lepidosauria; Squamata; Agamidae.
UAACUAACUAACUAACUAACUAACUAACUAACUAACUAACUAACUAAAUAAAUAAAUAAAUAAAUAAAUAAAUAAAUAAAUAAAUAAAUAUUGCCAGCUACUGAGAAAGCAUCACCUUGUUCUUUGCUCCAGGAAGCAAAAUCUCCCAGUCCAAUCCUGUCUCCAGUUCUUUUGCACAUUCCCAUCUCCAACAUAUCAAGACUUUGAGAGAUCUGCAUGGCAAACAUCAUUUUCAUUGCCAGGCGAGUUUAAAUUGAUGGAUUGGACCCACCAAUGAAACAAGCUGAAGCAAAUCAAAGCUUUUCCCUUGCUGUGAAUGAUGGUGAAACAUUGUGAAUUCCCUGAGUACCAGCCUAUCAGACAAAAAGAGAG